CCUGAUUCGAGCUGAUCCAGCCAUGCCGCGUGUGUGAAGAAGGUCUUCGGAUUGUAAAGCACUUUAAGUUGGGAGGAAGGGCAGUUACCUAAUACGUGAUUGUUUUGACGUUACCGACAGAAUAAGCACCGGCUAACUCUGUGCCAGCAGCCGCGGUAAUAA
RNAcentral lists this ribosomal RNA (162 nucleotides) under uncultured Pseudomonas sp. RNAcentral's name for it is "partial 16S ribosomal RNA". It matches the Rfam family "Bacterial small subunit ribosomal RNA", at positions 374 to 526 of the family's 1533-position model. The record is from RNAcentral. Lineage: Bacteria; Pseudomonadati; Pseudomonadota; Gammaproteobacteria; Pseudomonadales; Pseudomonadaceae.